Long non-coding RNA from Anguilla rostrata (American eel), 1182 nucleotides. RefSeq lists it as uncharacterized. The record is from RefSeq and is a predicted model, not a curated record. The transcript has 5 exons. NCBI's taxonomy places the organism in Eukaryota, Metazoa, Chordata, Actinopteri, Anguilliformes, Anguillidae.
GUUUAUAUUACUCCACAAGGGCUACCAAACAUGUUGAUAAGGGGUUUUAAAAGAAAAAAAUGACCUAAUACAUCAGGCUUUUAUUUUCAUUAUUAUUAUCAUUGUUACAAAAAUAAUUAAAUGUAACACAAUAAUUAACCUAUUAUAUUCGCAAAGGCGUCCGAAAACAAAAUGAAUGGAUGGAUUAUAGCGUAAAGACAUAGAGAACAUAGGUGCAAUGUGUGGAAGUUUCAAAAGACACCACAUUUUUAAAAAACUAGUGUCUACCAGCAAUAAAAGUUAGUGGCAGUAAUCAGUUGUGCUGUUCUCAUACAGCCACUAGAUGGCGAUGCAGUGUAAUUCCAGUUGAUGGAGUAGUUGCAUUGCUGUAAGAUCGUGCCAGAUGUACUGAAGUGCAGCACAGCUCGUACACGGCUCCGGCACUGCUUCAGCUGUUAGCAGGCUGGGUUGGUGUAAUCUCACAGAGGGCUGCUGUGAUGUUCUGGCCUCAGUCCUGCGUUCUCCUCACUCAGAGCUGAGAGAUCUGGAGCUCAGAGACAACGAGCUGCAGGAUUCAGGAGUGAGAGCGCUGUCUGCUGGACUGGAGGACCCACACUGUAAACUGCAGAGAAUGGGGCUGUCAGGCUGUAGAGUCACACAGAGAGGCUGUGAUUCUCUGGCUUCAGCUCUGUGUUCAAACCCGUCACACCUGAGAGAGCUGGACCUGAGAUACAAUCACCCAGGAGACUCAGGAGUGAGAGCGCUGUCUGCUGCUAAACUGGACACACUCACACUGCUUGUGGACCAUGGAGGAGAGAACAGGACCAAACCAGGACCCAGGAAAUACGGCUGUCAGUUCACACUGGAUCCAAACACAGCACACAGAGAGCUGUCUCUGUCUGAGGGGAACAGGAGGGUGACACACAAUAUGGGGAGAAAGGAGCCAUAUCCUGAUCAUCCAGAGAGAUUUGAGUCUGUGCUCCAGGUUGUGUGCAAAGAGAGUGUGUGUGAGCGCUGUUACUGGGAGGCUGAGUUCAGUGUGCCUGAGUGGAUGGGAUGGGUUUAUAUAGCAGUGACAUAUAAAGGAAUCAGCAGGAAAGGAGAGGGUUCUGACCGUGAGUUUGGAUUCAAUAAAAACUCCUGGAGUCUGGAGUGCAUUAAACCCAGUCACUCUAAUAAACUCAGUUACUCUGUCAGGCACAA